UACGUAGGGACCAAGCGUUGUUCGGAUUUACUGGGCGUAAAGGGCGCGUAGGCGGCUUAACAAGUCACUUGUGAAGUCUCCGGGCUUAACUCGGAACGGCCAAGUGAAACUGUCAAGCUAGAGUGCGGAAGGGGCAAUCGGAAUUCUUGGUGUAGCGGUGAAAUGCGUAGAUAUCAAGAGGAACACCUGAGGUGAAGACGGGUUGCUGGGCCGACACUGACGCUGAUGCGCGAAAGCCAGGGGAGCAAACGGG
RNAcentral lists this ribosomal RNA (253 nucleotides) under uncultured bacterium. Its description in RNAcentral is "partial 16S ribosomal RNA". It matches the Rfam family "Bacterial small subunit ribosomal RNA", at positions 524 to 776 of the family's 1533-position model. The record is from RNAcentral.